Molecule: long non-coding RNA, 995 nt
Organism: Vigna angularis (adzuki bean)
Lineage: Eukaryota; Viridiplantae; Streptophyta; Magnoliopsida; Fabales; Fabaceae
Exons: 2
Source: RefSeq, a predicted model, not a curated record
AUGAUAGGGUCAUUGGUUUCGCUUUGUGUGUUGUUUUUUGGACUGUUAGUUACGAAUGAUAAUGAAGCUAGACGUGGUUAUUUUAGUUACAGCCUAAAAAUUUGAAUCUGAUGACGGUGGCACACACAUUAUUCCAAAUAAUGAUUUGUUAAAAAGCUAUUUCAAAUGGAAUGGUGAAGAGAGACCUAUUGAUCAAGAUCACACAUUCAUGUGGAAAUUUAACUUGGAGUCCCUAAAGACGAGCAGCAUGAGCCUUAGACUCUGUGAUGCUAGCAGCUUCACUUUUGAGAUCAAUCCGCUUGAUUUUGACUUUCGGUGGCCAAAUUACGACUCAGUUGUGGGAGAGUUCAAAUCAGUUGUCACAAUAAAAGAAUGCGGCAUAUGCCCUCUUUAUAGAAGCGGAAGCAAUGUUACAGAGUCUUGAAGGGAAACAAAGGAAGAUAGGAAGAGGAAGGCAGAAAGCUACUUAGUGUUCUGCUAAUUGAUCUUCCGUUGGUGGGUUCGUUCAGACAAGAUUUGUAAGUUAUUGUUAGAUAUAGUUUGAUUUGUAAGUUAUUGUUAGAUAUAGUUUGAUUUGGACGUAAGUUGAGUUGCUCCGUUGUCCCAAAGUUACAUUUUCUUGAAACUCUUCAUUUUAAUUUCUUUAGCAUAUUUUGGCUUUCAUUUGCAGCGAAGGCAUUAUGAAAUCUUGAGGAGCUGCAUUUGCAAGGGUAAUUCGUAAAUGGGAAAAUGUUUCUGCCAAUUGAAUAUCAUAUCAUUGUAUUUGGAUUGUGCAUGGAGCUGUAAAACCAUAAAAUUGUUUAUUGGUUAACUUGGAUGACUGAAGAUGAUAAGAAGUUAUUUGUUGUUGUUCUUCGUUUAUUCACUUUGAGACACCUUGUUUCAUUUGAGCAGUGACUUAUAAAAGCUACUAGAGUGUGAUGGUUAAUUCUUUAUAAUUGUAGUUAGACAGUAAAGUCGAAGACAGUUUAUUUGAAUUUAUAAUUAUUUGGAUA